AGAGUUUGAUCCUGGCUCAGAUUGAACGCUGGCGGCAGGCUUAACACAUGCAAGUCGAGCGGAAACGAUACCAGCUUGCUGGUAGGCGUCGAGCGGCGGACGGGUGAGUAAUACUUAGGAAUCUACCUAGUAGUGGGGGAUAGCUCGGGGAAACUCGAAUUAAUACCGCAUACGACCUACGGGAGAAAGGGGGCAGUUUACUGCUCUCGCUAUUAGAUGAGCCUAAGUCGGAUAGCUAGAUGGUGGGGUAAAGGCCUACCAUGGCGACGAUCUGUAGCUGGUCUGAGAGGAUGAUCAGCCACACCGGGACUGAGACACGGCCCGGACUCCUACGGGAGGCAGCAGUGGGGAAUAUUGGACAAUGGGGGAAACCCUGAUCCAGCCAUGCCGCGUGUGUGAAGAAGGCCUUUUGGUUGUAAAGCACUUUAAGCAGUGAAGAAGACUCCUCGGUUAAUACCCGUGGACAAUGACAUUAGCUGCAGAAUAAGCACUGGCUAACUCUGUGCCAGCAGCCGCGGUAAUACAGAGGGUGCAAGCGUUAAUCGGAAUUACUGGGCGUAAAGCGAGCGUAGGUGGCUUGAUAAGUCAGAUGUGAAAUCCCCGGGCUUAACCUGGGAACUGCAUCUGAAACUGUUAGGCUAGAGUAGGUGAGAGGAAGGUAGAAUUCCAGGUGUAGCGGUGAAAUGCGUAGAGAUCUGGAGGAAUACCGAUGGCGAAGGCAGCCUUCUGGCAUCAUACUGACACUGAGGCUCGAAAGCGUGGGUAGCAAACAGGAUUAGAUACCCUGGUAGUCCACGCCGUAAACGAUGUCUACUAGUCGUUGGGUCCCUUGAGGACUUAGUGACGCAGCUAACGCAAUAAGUAGACCGCCUGGGGAGUACGGCCGCAAGGUUAAAACUCAAAUGAAUUGACGGGGGCCCGCACAAGCGGUGAGCAUGGUGGUUUAAUUCGAUGCAACGC
RNAcentral lists this ribosomal RNA (960 nucleotides) under uncultured bacterium. RNAcentral's name for it is "bacterial SSU rRNA". It matches the Rfam family "Bacterial small subunit ribosomal RNA", at positions 8 to 962 of the family's 1533-position model. The record is from RNAcentral.